GAUGAACGCUGGCGGCGUGCUUAAUACAUGCAAGUCGAGCGAAAGGACGCGACGCUUGCUUUUCUGAUGUUAGCGGCGGACGGGUGAGUAACACGUGGAUUACCUUCCUCUAAGACUGGGAUCACUUCGGGUAAGUGUAGCUCAUACCGGGUACUAUUUUGAACCGCAUGGUUCAAAAGUAAAUGACGGUUUUGCUGUCACUUCUAGAUGUAUCCGCGCUGCAUGAGCUAGUUGGUACGGUAACGGCUUACCAAGGCAACGAUGGAUAGCCGACCUGAGAGGGUGAACGGCCACACUGAAACUGAGACACGGUACAGACUCCGACGGGAGGCAGAGGUAGCGAAUCGACGGAGAUGGGCGAAAGAUUGACGGAGCAGCGCCAGGUUAGUGAAGAGGGGCUUCGGGGCGGAUAACGCUGUUAUGGGUGAAGAACACAUGUGUAAGGAACGGAGCACAUCGUGACGGUACCUAAACAGGAAGCCACGGCUAACUACGUG
This 497-nucleotide ribosomal RNA is filed under the name uncultured bacterium. Its description in RNAcentral is "partial 16S ribosomal RNA". It matches the Rfam family "Bacterial small subunit ribosomal RNA", at positions 28 to 507 of the family's 1533-position model. The record is from RNAcentral.